This is a long non-coding RNA of Thalassophryne amazonica, 334 nucleotides long. RefSeq lists it as uncharacterized. The record is from RefSeq and is a predicted model, not a curated record. The transcript is spliced from 2 exons. NCBI's taxonomy places the organism in Eukaryota, Metazoa, Chordata, Actinopteri, Batrachoidiformes, Batrachoididae.
UUAUGUAUGGUCUUGUAGUCAUUUAUCGCAGGCUGAUGUACAUAUGGUUUAUCUAAAUGAUGUGGACUAGUGGGCCAAGCAGUGAAGGAUGUCAAGGAGCAGAUUACAUGGUGAUGUGAUCGAUUAGCUUCUGUCCUGUCACUGACUAAACGUGCAGUUGCUGAAUGUUUAAGUAGGUUCUCAGAGAAAAUAAUGAAGACCAUCUUUGCCAAAUGUUAUGUCUCCCUGAGGAUGAUGUGUAAAAGCAUUGUUUGUCAUGUGUGUGUGUGGAUUCCACUUUCAAUUGCGUCUGCUGAGACAUGGUCGAUUCUAAUUCCUGCUGCAGUUCACAAAU